AUUUAAUUUUAAGUAAGCUAGUAUUGAAAGUACGAGUAGUAUAUUUAAACUUAGAAUUGGUUGUGAUAAAUAAGUCGUUAAACUUUAUAUCUGUUUGGGAAAGAGUUUGUUUUUAAAUUUAUUUGGUGAUGAGAUCAAGUAAAUAAAUAUAGUUAUAUUAAGGUGUAAAUAAUAAUAGGGUUAAAAUUACCUUUAUUUUGAGUGUAUGUUACAAUUGCUUUAUUUAUUCUUUAUUUAUAACUUAUUAUCAAAAUUUCCUUAAAUUUAAUUAAGUGAAGUUAAUUAUCAUAUAAUAAGUAAUUUUAUUAGUCUCUUUGUUUUUCAUUUACAUCCCGUCUGUUUAUUAAAAACAUUUCCAUAUUAUUAAUUUUAUAUGGUAGGACCUGCUCUAUGUGUUAUAAAUGGCCGCAGUAUCUUGACUGUGCGAAGGUAGCAUAAUUAAUUGCCCUUUAAAUGGGGGCUUGUUUGAAUGGUUUGACGAGGUUGUUUUUAACAUGGGGAUUUUUAUUGAAAUUGAUGAUGUGAAUACAGAAUUUACAUUAUUUAAUUAGACGGAAAGACCCUAGGAUCUUUAUGUAAUUUGCUUGGGGCAAGUAAAAAUAGUUUAUUUGUUUUUUGACCCUCUGAGAGUUUAUAGGUUUAAGUUACCCUAGGGAUAACAGAGUGAUAGUUUAUUAGAGUUCUUAUCGAUUAAACUGUUUGCUACCUCGAUGUUGACUUGGGUUAAUGUUCUGGCGCAGUAGUUAGAAGUUUUGGUCU
Molecule: ribosomal RNA, 759 nt
Filed under: Diphyllobothrium cordatum
Lineage: Eukaryota; Metazoa; Platyhelminthes; Cestoda; Diphyllobothriidea; Diphyllobothriidae
Description: partial 16S ribosomal RNA
Rfam family: Bacterial large subunit ribosomal RNA (bases 551-759)
Source: RNAcentral